UACGAAGGGGGCUAGCGUUGUCCGGAAUCACUGGGCGUAAAGCGCACGUAGGCGGAUUGUUAAGUCAGGGGUGAAAUCCUGGAGCUCAACUCCAGAACUGCCUUUGAUACUGGCGAUCUUGAGUCCGGGAGAGGUGAGUGGAACUCCGAGUGUAGAGGUGAAAUUCGUAGAUAUCAGGAGGAACACCAAUGGCGAAGGCAGCUCGCUGGAACGGUACUGACGCUGAGACGCGAAAGCGUGGGGAGCAAACAGG
This 253-nucleotide ribosomal RNA is filed under the name uncultured bacterium. RNAcentral describes it as "partial 16S ribosomal RNA". It matches the Rfam family "Bacterial small subunit ribosomal RNA", at positions 524 to 776 of the family's 1533-position model. The record is from RNAcentral.